This 1542-nucleotide long non-coding RNA is filed under the name Ricinus communis (castor bean). RNAcentral describes it as "long non-coding RNA (RCOM_LNC000958)". Lineage: Eukaryota; Viridiplantae; Streptophyta; Magnoliopsida; Malpighiales; Euphorbiaceae. The record is from RNAcentral.
AUAGCCUUUCAGCUCUCUUAUUCUAAUAGGUCUGGCGCCUAGAGAGCGAAGCUCAACUAGGAUCCUUACAUCCAGCCUGGACACUUGUUCCCCAAUUAAGCAGGUGCCGAGAGAGCAUUGCUCGACCAGAGACCUUUCUCCGGCAGCAAACUUUUAUAACCUAGAGAGUUAUAAUCGACCAGGGCAAAAUCCACAAAUAACCUUUGUUACAUGUUUCUGAUUAUUACUGAUGCGCACGCAGUCUUGAUGCAACCCGUCAUGUGGCAUGUUCUACAGUCACCUCAUCUCACAGUCAUAAUCAUAACAUAUAUAUAAAAAGAAAUCAUAAAUAUACUAUUCAUAGGUAACACAAUUUAUUUGAUUACAUAUUGAGAAAUAGAGUUUAGUAAUAUCGGGUAAAGCAAACAUGCAAAAUAUCUAUAGAGAUAAUAAUAAUAGUAUUUAAAUAACAUUAUUAAAAUAUCGUAAAUAAUGAUAAUGAUACUCAUACAUAACAUUAAACAUUAAAUAUUGAAUGAAAUCUAGACAUGCCAAAGUACAAUUAUUAUAUGACUUUAACUCACAGUUCUGUCGCGCUCUGCAGUCUGCUCUAACGCCUCGGGUGGAGCUGGCGGGAUGGACGAAUUAUUAUUCACUAAAAAACUCGGUUAAUAGACAUUCUUAAAUUUUCGUAGGCCUAGACCUCUAGAUUAGGCUGCCUAAAAUUAUUUUAGACUCGAGAAUUCUGUCGAAAAUUCGGCAGAGCCUCCCCUAAAUUAUGGACAUUUACUCCCCUUACAACGGGUCCAGAACUUGCUAGAAACACUUCAAAUAUUCUGCGAUUAAUUUAACGGGAGUCAGGCCACCAAAACUGCAUUAUGUUUCUUGACUCCGCAACAUAACACAAUCACAAUUAAUUAAAUCCAACUAAUUUUUAAAUUAUCCAUCAUUGAUAAUUAAUAGCCAUAAUAUUUUUCUAGAAUUACAACAUAAUUUAUAGGGUCUAAAUAAAAUUAUACCGAGUCGAAAUUGUAAUAUUUCGCGUGUCCGGAAAGUACCAUGGUCCAGAAGCCGGUCCUACCAACAGUGUCAAAAUUUGAAUCCAGAAGCGCCUAUGUGAAGCUUGAGUUGUAGGAGUCCGAAAACAUGACAGUUUCGGCCGGAAACUCACCGGAAGGCACCAGAUUGGGGCCGGAAAGGUUCUACUCCAGUGAAGCCCCUCUAAAGCUGCCGGUGGAGGAAAUCAAUGAGGAGACUUGCUUUGGGGUGAUGAGGAGUCCGAAUCCAGCAUCGGAUUGCCGAAAGGAUGUCGGCAGGAGCCCGAAUCGACGACGGCAGCCUCUUUCGUCCUUCGUCGGCGUCGCGCGGAAGGGAGGGAGAAGGUUUGAAGGCUGUGCAGCAGCGGGAGGAAGGAAAAGAAAGAUGCGCGGCGGUGGCAACAGCUCGACGACACGUAGGUGGGCGGGGGAGAGGGCAAUUGGCAAGGAGAAGGGAAAAGGGGGAGGGGAAGGAGGAAGGGGAAGAAAGGAAAAGAAGGAGAGGGGGGAAAAGGGAAGGAAAGAA